ACGCAACGCGCAGACUUACCCUGGCUUGACAUCCCGAUCGUACUUCUGGAAACAGUUAGGUCAGUUCGGCUGGAUCGGUGACAGGUGCUGCAUGGCUGUCGUCAGCUCGUGUCGUGAGAUGUUGGGUUAAGUCCCGCAACGAGCGCAACCCUUGUCCUUAGUUGCCAGCAUUAAGUUGGGCACUCUAAGGAGACUGCCGGUGUUAAACCGGAGGAAGGUGGGGAUGACGUCAAGUCCUCAUGGCCCUUAUGUCCAGGGCUACACACGUGCUACAAUGGCCGGUACAAAGGGCUGCAAUACCGCAAGGUGGAGCGAACCCCAAAAAGCCGGUCUCAGUUCGGAUUGGAGUCUGCAACUCGACUUCGUGAAGCUGGAUUCGCUAGUAAUCGCGCAUCAGCCAUGGCCGCGGUCCGAAUACGUUCCGGCCUU
This 429-nucleotide ribosomal RNA is filed under the name uncultured Pelobacter sp. RNAcentral's name for it is "bacterial SSU rRNA". It matches the Rfam family "Bacterial small subunit ribosomal RNA", at positions 954 to 1374 of the family's 1533-position model. Lineage: Bacteria; Pseudomonadati; Thermodesulfobacteriota; Desulfuromonadia; Desulfuromonadales; Desulfuromonadaceae. The record is from RNAcentral.